CGGCGGACGGGUGAGUAACACGUGGAUAACCUACCUAUAAGACUGGGAUAACUUCGGGAAACCGGAGCUAAUACCGGAUAAUAUUUUGAACCGCAUGGUUCAAAAGUAAAAGACGGUCUUGCUGUCACUUAUAGAUGGAUCCGCGCUGCAUUAGCUAGUUGGUAAGGUAACGGCUUACCAAGGCAACGAUGCAUAGCCGACCUGAGGAGGGUGAUCGGCCACACUGGAACUGAGACACGGUCCAG
Molecule: ribosomal RNA, 245 nt
Filed under: uncultured Staphylococcus sp.
Lineage: Bacteria; Bacillati; Bacillota; Bacilli; Caryophanales; Staphylococcaceae
Description: partial 16S ribosomal RNA
Rfam family: Bacterial small subunit ribosomal RNA
Source: RNAcentral